RNAcentral lists this ribosomal RNA (594 nucleotides) under Triticum aestivum (bread wheat). RNAcentral's name for it is "partial small subunit ribosomal RNA". Lineage: Eukaryota; Viridiplantae; Streptophyta; Magnoliopsida; Poales; Poaceae. The record is from RNAcentral.
AUGGCCACCACCAGCAAGCAGGCUCUAGCUCUCGCUGCUCUCCUGAUCCUGCUCACCCGCACCCACCUCAUUGCCGCCGCAAGAGCCCCGGUCGCUGUAACCGGCAUUGGCCUUGGAGGAGGUGGCUACGGUGGAGGAGAAGGCGGUGGAAGCGCCGGUCAUGGUUACGGCUACGGUUCAGGCUAUGGAGCCGGUCAUGGCUAUGGCUAUGGCGGCAGCAUUGGUGGUGGUGGUGGUGGCGGCGGUGGGCAUGGGGGUGGCGGUGGUGGAGGUAGUGGCGACAUGGGCUCAGGGUACGGUUCUGGUUAUGGCAGUGGUUAUGGCUCCGGUUACGGUGCUGGCGGUCAAGGUGGUGGGGGAGGUGGUGGAGGAGGAGGAGGCGGUGGAUCCGGCUAUGGCAGUGGCGGUGGCUAUGGGUCUGGGUACGGAGAAGGCUAUGGGUCAGGCGGUGGCAUGAACGGUGGAGGUGGAGGGGGCGGCGGUGGAGGGGGAGGUGGUGACGGCGGCAGUGGUGGCUUUGGGCAUGGAAGCGGUGGAGGCUAUGGUUAUGGCAGUGGAGGUGGAGGUGGCUACGGUGGCGAGCAUGGCCACUGA